AGAGUUUGAUCCUGGCUCAGAACGAACGCUGGCGGCAUGCCUAACACAUGCAAGUCGAACGAGAAGCCGGGCUUCGGCCCGGUGGAAAGUGGCGGACGGGUGAGUAGCGCGUGGGAACCUGCCCAGCGGUGGGGAACAACCACGGGAAACUGUGGCUAAUACCGCAUACGCCCGCCGGGGUGAGACCCGGGGGGGAAAGAUUUAUCGCCGUUGGAGGGGCCCGCGUCGGAUUAGGUUGUUGGUGGGGUAACGGCCCACCAAGCCUGCGAUCCGUAGCUGGUCUGAGAGGAUGAUCAGCCACACUGGGACUGAGAUACGGCCCAGACUCCUACGGGAGGCAGCAGUGGGGAAUAUUGGACAAUGGGGGCAACCCUGAUCCAGCAAUGCCGCGUGGGUGAAGAAGGCCUUAGGGUUGUAAAGCCCUUUCACCGGGGACGAUGAUGACGGUACCCGGAGAAGAAGCCCCGGCUAACUCCGUGCCAGCAGCCGCGGUAAGACGGAGGGGGCUAGCGUUGUUCGGAAUUACUGGGCGUAAAGCGCGCGUAGGCGGUUCGUCGAGUCGGGCGUGAAAGCCCGGGGCUCAACCCCGGAACUGCGUUCGAUACUGGCGGACUAGAGACCGGGAGAGGAGAGUGGAAUUCCCAGUGUA
RNAcentral lists this ribosomal RNA (649 nucleotides) under uncultured bacterium. RNAcentral's name for it is "bacterial SSU rRNA". It matches the Rfam family "Bacterial small subunit ribosomal RNA", at positions 8 to 677 of the family's 1533-position model. The record is from RNAcentral.